Molecule: ribosomal RNA, 785 nt
Filed under: uncultured bacterium
Lineage: Bacteria
Description: bacterial SSU rRNA
Rfam family: Bacterial small subunit ribosomal RNA
Source: RNAcentral
GAUGAACGCUGGCGGCGUGCUUAACACACGCAAGUCGAACGAAGCACUUUAUUUGAUUUCCUUCGGGACUGAUUAUUUUGUGACUGAGUGGCGGACGGGUGAGUAACGCGUGGGUAACCUGCCUUGUACAGGGGGAUAACAGUUGGAAACGGCUGCUAAUACCGCAUAAGCGCACGGCAUCGCAUGAUGCAGUGUGAAAAACUCCGGUGGUAUAAGAUGGACCCGCGUUGGAUUAGCUAGUUGGUGAGGUAACGGCCCACCAAGGCGACGAUCCAUAGCCGACCUGAGAGGGUGACCGGCCACAUUGGGACUGAGACACGGCCCAAACUCCUACGGGAGGCAGCAGUGGGGAAUAUUGCACAAUGGGCGAAAGCCUGAUGCAGCGACGCCGCGUGAGCGAAGAAGUAUUUCGGUAUGUAAAGCUCUAUCAGCAGGGAAGAUAAUGACGGUACCUGACUAAGAAGCACCGGCUAAAUACGUGCCAGCAGCCGCGGUAAUACGUAUGGUGCAAGCGUUAUCCGGAUUUACUGGGUGUAAAGGGAGCGCAGGCGGUGCGGCAAGUCUGAUGUGAAAGCCCGGGGCUCAACCCCGGUACUGCAUUGGAAACUGUCGUACUAGAGUGUCGGAGGGGUAAGCGGAAUUCCUAGUGUAGCGGUGAAAUGCGUAGAUAUUAGGAGGAACACCAGUGGCGAAGGCGGCUUACUGGACGAUAACUGACGCUGAGGCUCGAAAGCGUGGGGAGCAAACAGGAUUAGAUACCCUGGUAGUCCACGCCGUAAACGAUG